UCAUGUCAAGAGAUAUCUAAGGCCUACAGAUAUUUCAAAUAUUAUCUUCCUUUGCCACUUGGAGGGUCCAAAAGCAGCUGAAUAGGACAGAACAAGCAGUAGGUGCAGAUAUUUCUGCCUUAUGGGGGGAUCUAAAAUUUUUUUACAGUAUAAAUAUAAUAAUAUACUAAUUAUAUUUUUAUGUACUAUAAUAAUUUAUAAUAAUUACCGACCGUCCCUAGAGCAAGUGGCAAAGAACUUGGUGGUUGGUAUCCGAGACCCAAGUUCAAAUCCUAGUUGAUUCACAUUUUCCAGCUAAGUUUAUUUCUAAAUGAAAUAAACGAAGCAGUUAGUGUGCUACCUAUCUCUCAAAAAAAAAAUUGCAAUAAUUAUUAUUAAAAGAAUAAAAAUAAUAAAUUUACAACUAUUGAAAA
Molecule: long non-coding RNA, 413 nt
Filed under: Ananas comosus (pineapple)
Lineage: Eukaryota; Viridiplantae; Streptophyta; Magnoliopsida; Poales; Bromeliaceae
Description: long non-coding RNA (ACOM_LNC033052)
Source: RNAcentral